Balaenoptera musculus (blue whale) is the source of this 103-nucleotide small nuclear RNA. NCBI's taxonomy places the organism in Eukaryota, Metazoa, Chordata, Mammalia, Artiodactyla, Balaenopteridae. The record is from Ensembl.
AGGUGCUGGCUUCCAAUAUACUAAAAUUGGAACGAUACAGAGAAGAUUAGCAUGGCCCCUGUGCAAGGAUGACAUGCAAAUUCGUGAAGCGUUCCAUAUUUUU